RNAcentral lists this transfer RNA (67 nucleotides) under Marmota monax (woodchuck). RNAcentral describes it as "tRNA.Ala". The record is from RNAcentral. Lineage: Eukaryota; Metazoa; Chordata; Mammalia; Rodentia; Sciuridae.
GGUUAUGACUCAGUGGUAGAGUGCUUGCCUAGCAUGUGUGAGGCUCUGGGUUCAAUUCUCAACACCA